GGAAGUGAGAAACAAUUAUGCCAAAGUUGGUUUCGUUCGGGUAUAAAAACUACGACUUGGUCAACAAAAAACUAAUUGCCGUAUGCAAAUCACGCAGUUCGAAUAUUACAGACGGAGACGCAACAACUUCCAACUUCGUUCGACAUUUGAAGUUGCACAAAGAAGGAAAUGGCAACAGCGGAGGAUGAAUGUCCCAUAACAAGAAGAUAGAGAAAAAGAAGAAGCUUAUCGACUACGGUGUCGGAAUGGACUACAAAGGCGGACGCGCGCAAAUUUUCAGGACUGAUGCAGAUCCCAAAAACAGAUCAGCAGGUACCAGAAGGUCAAACAACGGCACCUAAUUUAAGAAAACAGGUUAAUCUUCUUCAGUCACAAGAUCAGCACUUCUCAGGACCAGCAGCUUCCUAGGAAGGUGGAAAGACCAUGAGACCAAAAUGGUGAGUUUGCAAAAUGUAGAAUUUGUGUGCCAGUUCCUCUGUGCAGAUUUGAGGAUGAAAGCAGCCACUCCAGAUUCCCUUGCACUCGCUAAGAGGGGCACGGUCAAAGCCGAUCCAGGACCAACACCCGAUACCUGACUGGAAGGAACCGAGAGGAGAGACAACACCUUGCCAGCGAUGACGAGAACGAUUAAGGUUGCCAGCCAAUAUGUGUCCGUCGGGACUCCAGCAGGUGUGGAAGGAGGCCCUGAAGCAAGCUGAGGGCCUGGACCAAAGCCCCACGCCCCAUACUCUGCCCCCGCCUUCCCCGAAGCCCCCACAGCUCCAACUUUUUCUCAGCUUUUCCCCAAUUUCGGCCAGCACGCACCGGCCACUGAACAGUCUGCCCAAUGGACUGAACCACACCCCAAGAAGAGACAGAGACAGACUGUUUGAGUGGAUCUCUUUCUUCACCAAGGCAGCCAAAAGCCCAACGAGGUGUCGGCAGGCCACCAGCCUGAGGCACCACCGAGCCAUCUAUACGAGCCCUAAUCGGACAUGGACUCAUACGAAAUUCAGUUGUGUGUUCAAAAUCAAUUGAUAAUUAACAAUAUUGGUAACUACAUUCAUUGCAAAUGCCGGGAAAAAUAUUUUUGCAAAUGUCUUACAGUCAUAAGUCUAUAUACAUUCAUCUAUUUAUGUUCAAUGAUGUUCAUGAUCAAAGUAUUUGUUAUUCCUUUACUAAAUCAAAGGGUAGGCCACUAAUUGUGUUCUGUGAGAUGGUUUUACUGCAGGCUGGUAACAGCGAUCGCUCUGAAGGAGGGUCAUAGACGGAAUUUUUGCCUCGUAUAAAAACAUUGAGAUUUUUGCCUCUAUCUGUGGUAGAGAUUAGUGGUCUACAUCAGAAAUUGUUUU
Molecule: long non-coding RNA, 1331 nt
Organism: Entelurus aequoreus (snake pipefish)
Lineage: Eukaryota; Metazoa; Chordata; Actinopteri; Syngnathiformes; Syngnathidae
Exons: 3
Source: RefSeq, a predicted model, not a curated record